This 441-nucleotide ribosomal RNA is filed under the name uncultured bacterium. Its description in RNAcentral is "partial 16S ribosomal RNA". It matches the Rfam family "Bacterial small subunit ribosomal RNA", at positions 338 to 795 of the family's 1533-position model. The record is from RNAcentral.
CCUACGGGUGGCAGCAGUGGGGAAUUUUGCACAAUGGGGGAAACCCUGAUGCAGCAACGCCGCGUGAAGGAAGACGGUUUUCGGAUUGUAAACUUCUGUUCAUAGUGAAGAAUAAUGACGGUAGCUAAAGAGCAAGCCACAGCUAAAUACGUGACAGCAGCCGCGGGAAUACGUAGGUGGCAAGCGUUGUCCGGAAUUACUGGGUGUAAAGGGAGCGCAGGCGGGAAGCCAAGUCAGCUGUGAAAACUACGGGCUUAAAUUGUAGACUGCAGUUGAAACUGGUUUUCUUGAGUGAAGUAGAGGCUGGCGGAAUUACGAGUGUAGCGGUGAAAUGCGUAGAUAUUCGGAGGAACACCAGUGGCGAAGGCGGCCAACUGGGCUUUAACUGACGCUGAGGCUCGAAAGUGUGGGGAGCAAACAGGAUUAGAUACCCGGGUAGUC